GACGAACGCUGGCGGCGUGCCUAAUACAUGCAAGUCGAGCGAAGUUUUUCUGGUGCUUGCACCGGAAAAACUUAGCGGCGAACGGGUGAGUAACACGUAAAGAACCUGCCUUAUAGACUGGGACAACUAUUGGAAACGAUAGCUAAUACCGGAUAACAGCAUUAACUGCAUGGUUGAUGUUUGAAAGUUGGUUUUGCUAACACUAUGAGAUGGCUUUGCGGUGCAUUAGCUAGUUGGUGGGGUAAAGGCCUACCAAGGCGACGAUGCAUAGCCGACCUGAGAGGGUGAGCGGCCACACUGGGACUGAGACACGGCCCAGACUCCUACGGGAGGCAGCAGUAGGGAAUCUUCCGCAAUGGGCGAAAGCCUGACGGAGCAACGCCGCGUGAGUGAAGAAGGAUUUCGGUUCGUAAAGCUCUGUUGUUAGGGAAGAAUGAUUGUGUAGUAACUAUACACAGUAGAGACGGUACCUAACCAGAAAGCCACGGCUAACUACG
Molecule: ribosomal RNA, 497 nt
Filed under: uncultured bacterium
Lineage: Bacteria
Description: partial 16S ribosomal RNA
Rfam family: Bacterial small subunit ribosomal RNA
Source: RNAcentral